ACAGGCUGGCAUACUACCCUAAACACACCUGCCCCCGACUAUUCUCGGAAGCUAAGCAAGGUCGGGCCUGGUUAGUAGGAUGGGAGACCACCUAGGAAGACCAGGUGCUGUAGAUG
This 116-nucleotide ribosomal RNA is filed under the name Pteropus alecto (black flying fox). The record is from RNAcentral. Lineage: Eukaryota; Metazoa; Chordata; Mammalia; Chiroptera; Pteropodidae.